RNAcentral lists this transfer RNA (77 nucleotides) under Dehalobacter sp. CF. RNAcentral's name for it is "tRNA-Arg (TCT) (tRNA-Arg-TCT-1-1)". It matches the Rfam family "tRNA". Rfam says of the family: Transfer RNA (tRNA) molecules are approximately 80 nucleotides in length. Their secondary structure includes four short double-helical elements and three loops (D, anti-codon, and T loops). Lineage: Bacteria; Bacillati; Bacillota; Clostridia; Eubacteriales; Desulfitobacteriaceae. The record is from RNAcentral. RNAcentral also lists the same sequence under 3 other names.
GCGCCUGUAGCUCAGCCGGAUAGAGCAUCUGCCUUCUAAGCAGGUUGUCGGGGGUUCGAAUCUCUCCAGGCGCGCCA